Long non-coding RNA from Folsomia candida, 305 nucleotides. RefSeq lists it as uncharacterized. The transcript has 3 exons. NCBI's taxonomy places the organism in Eukaryota, Metazoa, Arthropoda, Collembola, Entomobryomorpha, Isotomidae. The record is from RefSeq and is a predicted model, not a curated record.
GAGGUAGUGUUGGCAUUUUCCUAUUUAAACACAGACCCUCAGACUUUUGAAUCAAGUCACUCAAGUGUGGUUCAAGUGUGAACAUCUUGCAUUCUCUCUGAAAACUGCAACAUGGCAAAGUUAGCAUUGAUUUUGGUGCUACUUGUAGUGGUCUGCUACUGUAGUGUCGUCGAAGCUGGGGGAUACGGUGGAGGGGGUGGUUAUGGGUAAGAAUCUUGACAUCAGCGCCAUAAAGGAUCGGGUGAAAGUUAUUCCAAAUAAAAAUAUUUAAUUUGCAGAGGAGGAGGAGGGUAUGGGAAGAAGGG